Molecule: non-coding RNA, 317 nt
Organism: Nicotiana tabacum (common tobacco)
Lineage: Eukaryota; Viridiplantae; Streptophyta; Magnoliopsida; Solanales; Solanaceae
Source: RefSeq, a predicted model, not a curated record
GAUUGCUCGGAUCUGGUGCUUGACGGAGACUUGAGGUACAGAAAACUGAUGCUCAAGUGCUAAUCCCUCAAGUUCCAACAUUGAUGAAAUGCAAGUUUGACAAAAUAUAUCAGUUGGGUGACUCACUUUCUGAUACUGGCAACUUCAUUAGAGAGAGCCUCGUUGGAGCUUUUUCUCCCUUUGCAAAACUUCCUUAUGGUGAAAACUUUUUCCAGAACAAAUCAACUGGACGAUGUUCUGAUGGUUUGCUCAUGAUCGAUUUCAUAGGUACGCAUAGGGGUGUCAAAUGGGCGGAUUGGGUUGAUUUUGGACGGGUC